UACGUAGGGGGCAAGCGUUGUCCGGAUUUAUUGGGCGUAAAGAGCGUGUAGGCGGCUUUACAGGUCCGUUGUGAAAACUCGAGGCUCAACCUCGAGACGCCGGUGGAAACCGUAAAGCUAGAGUCCGGAAGAGGAGAGUGGAAUUCCUGGUGUAGCGGUGAAAUGCGCAGAUAUCAGGAGGAACACCCGUGGCGAAAGCGGCUCACUGGACCACAACUGACGCUGAUGCACGAAAGCUAGGGGAGCAAACAGG
This 253-nucleotide ribosomal RNA is filed under the name uncultured prokaryote. Its description in RNAcentral is "partial 16S ribosomal RNA". It matches the Rfam family "Bacterial small subunit ribosomal RNA", at positions 524 to 776 of the family's 1533-position model. The record is from RNAcentral.